This 497-nucleotide ribosomal RNA is filed under the name uncultured bacterium. RNAcentral's name for it is "partial 16S ribosomal RNA". It matches the Rfam family "Bacterial small subunit ribosomal RNA", at positions 28 to 507 of the family's 1533-position model. The record is from RNAcentral.
GAUGAACGCUGGCGGCGUGCCUAAUACACGCAAGUCGAGCGAACAGACGAGGAGCUUGUUCCUCUGACGUUUGCGGCGGACGGGUGAGUAACACGUGGAUAACCUACCUAUAAGACUGGGAUAACUUCGGGAAACCGGAGCUAAUACCGGAUAAUAUAUUGAACCGCAUGGUUCAAUAGUGAAAUACGGUUUUGCUGUCACUUAUAGAUGGAUCCGCGCCGCAUUAGUUAGUUGGUAGGGUAACGGCUUACCAAGGCAACGAGGCGUAGCCGACGUGAGAGGGUGGUCGGCCACACUGGAGCUGAGACACGGUCCAGACUCCUACGGGAGGCAGCAGUAGGGAAUCGGCCGCAAUGGUCGAAAGCCUGGCGGAGCAACGCCGCGUGAGUGAUGGAGGUCUUCGGAUCGUAAAACUCUGUUUUUAGGGAAGAACAAAUGUGUAAGUAACUAUGCACGUCUUGACGGUACCUAAUCAAAAAGCCACGGCUAACUACGUG